GUGGAUUAGAUACCCUGGUAGUCCACGCAGUAAACGAUGCAGACUAGGCGUGGGGGGAGUUGACCCCCUCCGUGCCGGAGCCAACGCGGGAAGUCUGCCGCCUGGGGAGUACGGCCGCAAGGCUAAAACUCAAAGGAAUUGACGGGGGCCCGCACAAGCGGCGGAGCGUGCGGUUUAAUUCGACGCGACGCGUAAAACCUUACCAGGGUUUGACAUGCUCCUGCAGAGCCGGGAAACCGGUUGGCCUUCGAGGGUGGAGCACAGGUGCUGCACGUCUGUCGUCAGCU
Molecule: ribosomal RNA, 287 nt
Filed under: uncultured bacterium
Lineage: Bacteria
Description: partial 16S ribosomal RNA
Rfam family: Bacterial small subunit ribosomal RNA
Source: RNAcentral